This 560-nucleotide ribosomal RNA is filed under the name Niesslia gamsii. RNAcentral's name for it is "eukaryotic LSU rRNA". It matches the Rfam family "Eukaryotic large subunit ribosomal RNA", at positions 35 to 511 of the family's 3401-position model. The record is from RNAcentral. Lineage: Eukaryota; Fungi; Ascomycota; Sordariomycetes; Hypocreales; Niessliaceae.
UAAGCAUAUCAAUAAGCGGAGGAAAAGAAACCAACAGGGAUUGCCUCAGUAACGGCGAGUGAAGCGGCAACAGCUCAAAUUUGAAAUCUGGCCCCCAGGGCCCGAGUUGUAAUUUGCAGAGGAUGCUUUGGGCGCGGCGCCUUCCGAGUUCCCUGGAACGGGACGCCACAGAGGGUGAGAGCCCCGUCUGGUUGGACGCCUAGCCUGUGUAAAGCUCCCUCGACGAGUCGAGUAGUUUGGGAAUGCUGCUCUAAAUGGGAGGUAUAUGUCUUCUAAAGCUAAAUACCGGCCAGAGACCGAUAGCGCACAAGUAGAGUGAUCGAAAGAUGAAAAGCACUUUGAAAAGAGAGUUAAAAAGUACGUGAAAUUGUUGAAAGGGAAGGGCUCGCGACCAGACUUGGGUCUGGGGAUCACCCGGCGUUCUUCGCCGGGGCACUCCCCCGGCACAGGCCAGCAUCGGUUCGGCCCGGGGGAUAAAGGCGGCGGGAACGUGGCUCUUCGGAGUGUUAUAGCCCGCCGCGCAAUACCCUGGGGCGGACCGAGGACCGCGCAUCUGCAUG